UACGUAGGGGGCAAGCGUUGUCCGGAAUCAUUGGGCGUAAAGCGCGCGUAGGCGGCCCUGUAAGUCCGUUGUGAAAGUCAAAGGCUCAACCUUUGAAAGCCGAUGGAUACUGCAGGGCUAGAGUCCGGAAGAGGCGAGUGGAAUUCCCAGUGUAGCGGUGAAAUGCGCAGAUAUCAGGAGGAACACCAAUUGCGAAGGCAGCUCGCUGGGACGUAACUGACGCUGAGACGCGAAAGCGUGGGGAGCAAACAGG
This 253-nucleotide ribosomal RNA is filed under the name uncultured bacterium. Its description in RNAcentral is "partial 16S ribosomal RNA". It matches the Rfam family "Bacterial small subunit ribosomal RNA", at positions 524 to 776 of the family's 1533-position model. The record is from RNAcentral.